Maylandia zebra (zebra mbuna) is the source of this 192-nucleotide small nuclear RNA. RefSeq annotates it as U2 spliceosomal RNA. The record is from RefSeq and is a predicted model, not a curated record. NCBI's taxonomy places the organism in Eukaryota, Metazoa, Chordata, Actinopteri, Cichliformes, Cichlidae.
AUUGUUGUGGAAAGAAAAUAAAAAGAAGGAAAAAAAAAAAAAUCUGUUCUUAUCAGUUUAAUAUCUGAUACGCCCCCGAUUUGGGGGCAACGUAUUAAAUGCAUUUUUAGAACAGGGAGCCGAAUAAGGGGCUCGCCCAAGAAAUGCCUUAUUUGAGGGCUUUUGCAUUGUAUUUGUUUUUGAAGAUCCCAC